AUGACGUCAAGUCCUCAUGGCCUUUAUGUCUAGGGCUACACACGUACUACAAUGGCCGGUACAAAGGGCAGCCACUCAGCGAUGAGGCGCUAAUCCCAUAAAGCCGGUCUCAGUCCGGAUCGCAGUCUGCAACUCGACUGCGUGAAGUUGGAAUCGCUAGUAAUCGUAGAUCAGCAUGCUACGGUGAAUACGUUCCCGGGCCUU
Molecule: ribosomal RNA, 204 nt
Filed under: uncultured Desulfovibrio sp.
Lineage: Bacteria; Pseudomonadati; Thermodesulfobacteriota; Desulfovibrionia; Desulfovibrionales; Desulfovibrionaceae
Description: partial 16S ribosomal RNA
Rfam family: Bacterial small subunit ribosomal RNA
Source: RNAcentral